RNAcentral lists this transfer RNA (72 nucleotides) under Bacteriophage sp. RNAcentral's name for it is "tRNA-Ala". It matches the Rfam family "tRNA". From Rfam's summary of the family: Transfer RNA (tRNA) molecules are approximately 80 nucleotides in length. Their secondary structure includes four short double-helical elements and three loops (D, anti-codon, and T loops). Further hydrogen bonds mediate the characteristic L-shaped molecular structure. tRNAs have two regions of fundamental functional importance: the anti-codon, which is responsible for specific mRNA codon recognition, and the 3' end, to which the tRNAs corresponding amino acid is attached (by aminoacyl-tRNA synthetases). tRNAs cope with the degeneracy of the genetic code in two manners: having more than one tRNA (with a specific anti-codon) for a particular amino acid; and 'wobble' base-pairing, i.e. permitting non-standard base-pairing at the 3rd anti-codon position. The record is from RNAcentral.
GGCUGUGUAGUGUAAAUGGCUAACACUAUUGCUUUGCAAGCAAUCAUUGCGGUUCGAGUCCGACACGGUCCA